AAAGUUCCAUCCUGGCUCAAGAUGAACGCUGGCGGCGUGCUUAACACAUGCUACUCCAGCGAAACAGUUAACUUGAUUUCUUCGGAUUGAUUCUUAACUGACUGAGCGGCGGACGGGUGAUUAACGAUUGGGUGACCUGCCCCAUACCGGGGGAUAACGGCUGGAAACGGCUGCUAAUACCGCAUAAGCGCACAGAGCUGCAUGGCUCGGUGUGAAAAACUCCGGUGGUAUGGGAUGGGCCCGCGUCUGAUUAGGCAGUUGGCGGGGUAACGGCCCACCAAACCGACGAUCAGUAGCCGGCCUGAGAGGGCGACCGGCCACAUUGGGACUGAGACACGGCCCAAACUCCUACGGGAGGCAGCAGUGGGGAAUAUUGCACAAUGGGGGAAACCCUGAUGCAGCGACGCCGCGUGAGCGAAGAAGUAUUUCGGUAUGUAAAGCUCUAUCAGCAGGGAAGAUAAUGACGGUACCUGACUAAGAAGCCCCGGCUAACUACGUGCCAGCAGCCGCGGUAAUACGUAGGGGGCAAGCGUUAUCCGGAUUUACUGGGUGUAAAGGGAGCGUAGACGGCAAGGCAAGUCUGAUGUGAAAACCCAGGGCUUAACCCUGGGACUGCAUUGGAAACUGUCUGGCUCGAGUGCCGGAGAGGUAAGCGGAAUUCCUAGUGUAGCGGUGAAAUGCGUAGAUAUUAGGAAGAACACCAGUGGCGAAGGCGGCUUACUGGACGGUAACUGACGUUGAGGCUCGAAAGCGUGGGGAGCGAACAGGAUUAGAUACCCUGGUAGUCCACGCCGUAA
RNAcentral lists this ribosomal RNA (797 nucleotides) under uncultured bacterium. RNAcentral's name for it is "bacterial SSU rRNA". It matches the Rfam family "Bacterial small subunit ribosomal RNA", at positions 8 to 805 of the family's 1533-position model. The record is from RNAcentral.